AUUGAACGCUGGCGGCAGGCCUAACACAUGCAAGUCGAGCGGCAGCGGAAAGUAGCUUGCUACUUUGCCGGCGAGCGGCGGACGGGUGAGUAAUGUCUGGGAAACUGCCUGAUGGAGGGGGAUAACUACUGGAAACGGUAGCUAAUACCGCAUAACGUCGCAAGACCAAAGAGGGGGACCUUCGGGCCUCUUGCCCUCAGAUGUGCCCAGAAGGGAUUAGCUAGUAGGUGGGGUAACGGCUCACCUAGGCAACGAGCCCUAGCUGGUCUGAGAGGAUGACCAGCCACACUGGAACUGAGACACGGGCCAGACUCCUACGGGAGGCAGCAGUGGGGAAUAUGGCACAAUGGGCGCAAGCCUGAUGCAGCCAUGCCGCGUGUAUGAAGAAGGCCUUCGGGUUGUAAAGUACUUUCAGCGGGGAGGAAGGCGAUAAGGUUAAUAACCUUGUCGAUUGACGUUACCCGCAGAAGAAGCACCGGCUAACUCCGUGCCAGCCGCCGCGGUAA
RNAcentral lists this ribosomal RNA (506 nucleotides) under uncultured bacterium. RNAcentral's name for it is "partial 16S ribosomal RNA". It matches the Rfam family "Bacterial small subunit ribosomal RNA", at positions 29 to 523 of the family's 1533-position model. The record is from RNAcentral.